This 201-nucleotide ribosomal RNA is filed under the name uncultured Lactobacillus sp. RNAcentral describes it as "partial 16S ribosomal RNA". It matches the Rfam family "Bacterial small subunit ribosomal RNA", at positions 163 to 354 of the family's 1533-position model. The record is from RNAcentral. Lineage: Bacteria; Bacillati; Bacillota; Bacilli; Lactobacillales; Lactobacillaceae.
CUAAUACCGGAUAAGAAAGACGGAUCGCAUGAUCAGCUUUUAAAAGGCGGCGUAAGCUGUCGCUAUGGGAUGGCCCCGCGGUGCAUUAGCUAGUUGGUAAGGUAAAGGCUUACCAAGGCGAUGAUGCAUAGCCGAGUUGAGAGACUGAUCGGCCACAUUGGGACUGAGACACGGCCCAAACUCCUACGGGAGGCAGCAGGC